Molecule: long non-coding RNA, 1205 nt
Filed under: Homo sapiens (human)
Lineage: Eukaryota; Metazoa; Chordata; Mammalia; Primates; Hominidae
Description: non-protein coding lnc-SETD7-3:15
Source: RNAcentral
CCCGCCCCGCCCUUGCCCGCACAGGUGUGGCACCCGCCCGCCCCGCCGCACGGAGCCGCCUGCCCGCGGCCACACGCCAGGCGUCACUCGGGCUGGCGCCGGUCUACCUAGGCAGGCGUGGGACCUGUCGGGGGCUUCACGGCAGCGCGGAAGGCCAGCCUGCAGAGAGGCUGGGCCCAGCGCCCUGACUGACCCAGCCCCGCCACGUCCAAGGUUCCCGCCCUCUGGAGGAAGCCGCGCAAUCACUCCGGGGGCGGGGAGAGACAGACAACUGAGAGGAAGGAGGUACCACGGGCACUCUCUCGCGAGAGGGCCGCAGAGCCGCCUUUGACGGGGGCGUGUACCUGGAGAGCAACGUGACAUCUGUUUGAGCAGAUGAAUAUGCCAUUGGGAAAGUCAAGGACUGUCGGAGAGGAGGACAUGGCAGACCUUAACUAAAGUGAGGGGGACAGUAGAGCACUAAAAGUUCUAGGAAAGGAGAUGAACUGCUUAUUCCAUCAGAUGAAAAUAUAGUCAGAACAGAUGAGUAGUAGAACUUAAACAUGCCCGGAGUUGCCAGGAAUUUGCAAAAGCCUUGAUAUAAUUCCUGUUGCUGUAGAAAGACUUUCUACAGUCACUAAUAUAUCAAGUUAUGUUCACUAGAAAAAAAGUUUACUUAGUUUAUAGAAAUGGGCUGAAAAAUCCUAAUUACUUAUCUGUGAGGUUAUUUUCAUGAAGGUUAAUCAUCCAGAAACUAUUAGAGAGCCUCGGAAUAUAUUUCUUCUAAUCUGCUCUACCUAUCCCAUUCAAAGGAGGGAAUCUGAAGAUUUAAGGACAAAGAGCAGUUGAAAACUCAGAGCUGUGGUUAAUGGGAGAAUUUCAAGGAUGGUGAAAAAAACUAACAUCAUUGCAUCCCUGUUUUUUGUAUUCUGGACUUUUUAGUUUAGCUCUUGGUAAACUACAUCAGAAAUUCUUUAUGCUAACUCUAACACACAUUUUGGGGUAUUGCUAAUUUAAUCUUUGAAUACUGUUUUUGCUGUUUCAUGAUUAUAUGUUAUGUCCUACCAGCUAGAUUGCCAACUCUUGACUACUGACUGGAAGUUUAUUGUUUAUUCAGCAAAUAAUGAAUUAAGUCAGUGAAGUGAGAGAUUUCGUGUGUAAGGAUUGUUAACUUGAACAUUUCACCAGUUACACACAGUUCAGCCCUACUUAAAUUUUAAAAAUCA